Molecule: ribosomal RNA, 483 nt
Filed under: uncultured bacterium
Lineage: Bacteria
Description: bacterial SSU rRNA
Rfam family: Bacterial small subunit ribosomal RNA
Source: RNAcentral
GACGAACGCUGGCGGCGUGCCUAAUACAUGCAAGUAGAACGCUGAAGAGAGGAGCUUGCUCUUCUUGGAUGAGUUGCGAAACGGGUGAGUAACGCGUAGGUAACCUGCCUUGUAGCGGGGGAUAACUAUUGGAAACGAUAGCUAAUACCGCAUAACAAUGGAUGACACAUGUCAUUUAUUUGAAAGGGGCAAUUGUUCCACUACAAGAUGGACCUGCGUUGUAUUAGCUAGUAGGUGAGGUAAUGGCUCACCUAGGCGACGAUACAUAGCCGACCUGAGAGGGUGAUCGGCCACACUGGGACUGAGACACGGCCCAGACUCCUACGGAGGCAGCAGUAGGGAAUCUUCGGCAAAAUGGGGCAAACCCUGACCAAAGCAAACGCCGCGUGAGUGAAGAAAGGUUUUCGGAUCGUAAAAGCUCUGUUGUAAGUCAAGAACGGGUGUGAGAGUGGAAAGUUCACACUAUGAACGGUAGCUUACCAG